GAUGAACGCUGGCGGCGUGCCUAAUACAUGCAAGUCGAGCGAACAGACGAGGAGCUUGCUCCUCUGACGUUAGCGGCGGACGGGUGAGUAACACGUGGAUAACCUACCUAUAAGACUGGGAUAACUUCGGGAAACCGGAGCUAAUACCGGAUAAUAUAUUGAACCGCAUGGUUCAAUAGUGAAAGACGGUUUUGCUGUCACUUAUAGAUGGAUCCGCGCCGCAUUAGCUAGUUGGUAAGGUAACGGCUUACCAAGGCAACGAUGCGUAGCCGACCUGAGAGGGUGAUCGGCCACACUGGAACUGAGACGCGGUCCAGACUCCUACGGGAGGCAGCAGUAGGGAAUCUUCCGCAAUGGGCGAAAGCCUGACGGAGCAACGCCGCGUGAAUGAUGAAGGUCUUCGGAUCGUAAAACUCUGUUAUUAGGGAAGAACAAAUGUGUAAGUAACUAUGCACGUCUUGACGGUACCUAAUCAGAAAGCCACGGCUAACUACGUG
RNAcentral lists this ribosomal RNA (497 nucleotides) under uncultured bacterium. Its description in RNAcentral is "partial 16S ribosomal RNA". It matches the Rfam family "Bacterial small subunit ribosomal RNA", at positions 28 to 507 of the family's 1533-position model. The record is from RNAcentral.